GUGCCAGCCGCCGCGGUAAUACCAGACUCCGCGAGUGGUCGGGGUGCUUACUGGGCCUAAAGCGCCCGUAGCCGGCCCGGUAAGUCCGUCCCGUAAAUCCACGGGCUCAACCCGUGGGCUGGGGACGAUACUGCCGGGCUUGGGGGCGGGAGAGGCCCAGGGUACUCCCGGGGUAGGGGCGAAAUCCGUAGAUCCCGGGAGGACCACCAGUGGCGAAGGCGCCCCGCUAGAACGCGCCCGACGGUGAGAGGCGAAAGCCGGGGCAGCAAAAGGGAUUAGAUACCCCUGUAGUCCCAGCUGUAAACGAUGCCGGCUAGGUGUUUGGGCGGGCUUAGAGCCCGCCCAGUGCCGGAGGGAAGCCGUUAAGCCCGCCGCCUGGGGAGUACGGCCGCAAGGCUGAAACUUAAAGGAAUUGGCGGGGGGGCACCACAAGGGGUGAAGCUUGCGGCUUAAUUGGAGUCAACGCCGGAAACCUUACCCGGGGCGACAGCAGGAUGAUGGCCAGGCUAACGACCUUGCCGGACGAGCUGAGAGGAGGUGCAUGGCCGUCGUCAGCUCGUGUUGUGAAAUGUCCGGUUAAGUCCGGCAACGAGCGAGACCCCCACCCCUAGUUGGUACCCUGGCCUCCGGGCCAGGGCCACACUAGGGGGACUGCCGCCGUAAGGCGGAGGAAGGAGGGGGCCACGGCAGGUCAGCAUGCCCCGAAACCCCCGGGCCGCACGCGGGUUACAAUGGCAGGGACAGCGGGAUCCUGCCCCGAGAGGGGUGGGCAAUCCCUAAACCCUGCCUCAGUUGGGAUCGAGGGCUGCAACUCGCCCUCGUGAACGAGGAAUCCCUAGUAACCGCAGGUCACCAACCUGCGGUGAAUACGUCCCUGCUCCUUGCACACACCGCCCGUC
This 899-nucleotide ribosomal RNA is filed under the name uncultured archaeon. Its description in RNAcentral is "SSU rRNA". It matches the Rfam family "Archaeal small subunit ribosomal RNA", at positions 455 to 1354 of the family's 1478-position model. The record is from RNAcentral.